GUGAUUGAUGAAUGUGACCUCACUGUCUCUGGAAAGAACCUGCAGUGCUACUGCGAGAGCUGAUGCCUUCUCAAACACUGAUCGGCAGGGGUCCCGGGUGUCAUACCCCCGCCGAUCAGAUACUGAUGACCUAUCCAGAGUAUAGGUCAUCAUUAUAAAAGUC
This is a long non-coding RNA of Bufo bufo (common toad), 163 nucleotides long. RefSeq lists it as uncharacterized. The record is from RefSeq and is a predicted model, not a curated record. The transcript is spliced from 3 exons. Lineage: Eukaryota; Metazoa; Chordata; Amphibia; Anura; Bufonidae.